RNAcentral lists this long non-coding RNA (585 nucleotides) under Bos taurus (domestic cattle). RNAcentral describes it as "long non-coding RNA NONBTAT026581". Lineage: Eukaryota; Metazoa; Chordata; Mammalia; Artiodactyla; Bovidae. The record is from RNAcentral.
AAAGGGGAUGGAAUUACAAAUGCCUUUGAGCCCUGUUAAAUAGUUUUUCAAAAAUCUGUGACCUAUAAGUUGAGGGCAGCUAUCAUGACAGAAUAUGACAAACAGUUGUUCUAGUGUUUAUUCAUACUUUCCAAAAUACAUUGAAAAUCAUUGGUGAUGAGAUUUUGGUGGUGUUAAAUAACAUGGUAAUGAUACUGGUUUCUGAUACUCACAGACUCCACCAGGGUUUUCUAUCACAUAGUGGUCACAUAAGCAUUAUUUUUCUUAUUUCAGAAUAGCUGGUUAUAUAAAUCUCGACUCUGAAUCAAGGGCAACCUCUUAGUUGUUCUUACUACAACUCAAAUGAAGUAAAACGUGAAGAAACAAAAUAAUCUAGUUUUCUCGAUUAACAAGUACCUUAUUUGAGAAUAUAUAAGCAAAGUAUGUUACACUACAGGAGACAAUUUCAAUGACUAAUAGAAUAAACUUUCAGCUUAGCUCAAAGUCUAAGCUGAAAUUUUAUCUCUAGUGAUUCUGAGCUGUACAUCACAAUAUUUUGUUUUGAAUUAACUAGUCUGAUCUUGCCCUGUGAGAGAUAUAUAUCUA